AAAUUUCUACUGUUUUGAAAUUAGGCAUUUGAUCUAUUCCCAUUUUACUAUAUAUAAUAUGUACAAUUGCUGCGCGCACGCACGUAUGUAUGCCUGGAUCCUGAGUAUAGCUUCAGUAAGGCUUAAACCAACCAUGGACGCUGAUGUAAACUUACUUUGAUUUCUUUCUUAAUAGAUGACAUUCGUUUAAACAUCCAAACUCUCUUCUACCAAGUAACAUCAUCUGAAUAAAGAAUUAAAGAAAACACAGUUUAUAUAGUGAGAGUAGUUUGAAACCGGUCAUUCCAAGGGAAAUCAAUACAUCUA
Molecule: long non-coding RNA, 306 nt
Filed under: Eurytemora carolleeae
Lineage: Eukaryota; Metazoa; Arthropoda; Copepoda; Calanoida; Temoridae
Description: uncharacterized LOC111697041
Source: RNAcentral